Molecule: non-coding RNA, 45 nt
Filed under: Mycobacterium sp. UM_Kg1
Lineage: Bacteria; Bacillati; Actinomycetota; Actinomycetes; Mycobacteriales; Mycobacteriaceae
Description: L31-Actinobacteria ribosomal protein leader
Rfam family: L31-Actinobacteria ribosomal protein leader
Source: RNAcentral
CAGGUUCCGGUUCACGUCCGCCCCAAGGCGGGCGACCCGGCGGCC